Coffea arabica (coffee) is the source of this 2780-nucleotide long non-coding RNA. RefSeq lists it as uncharacterized. The record is from RefSeq and is a predicted model, not a curated record. NCBI's taxonomy places the organism in Eukaryota, Viridiplantae, Streptophyta, Magnoliopsida, Gentianales, Rubiaceae.
UUGGAAUCAUGAACUAUGAAAUAUCAAUCCCAUGAUUCCUGGAACAUGGUCACAUGAGAUCCAAGACAUAUCUGUAUCAUCUUCGGAUUUUGUAAAUGAUCUGAUCAUGCUUGAAGGUGAGUGGUUUCCUUGCUAUGCUUGUCAAGCCAGCAGUCUUCGCGGUCUGACCUUUCUCUCGUUGUCUGUUCGACCUUGAAGUUCUUGUGGUUUUCAUGGGACAUAAACCCUAGUAACUCCGUUUACAGAGCAUGAUCUUAGCUAUCCUAGGUUCGUCCUGGUUCCGUAUUCAAGGGUUUGAUAUUGUCAUAGUUGACUUUGCCUUAUAAGCCAUGCAAACUAAAGCUUAGUUUGAACUUGGCAUAGGGUUAUCGAUUCUGGCUCGAGCUUUUCACCUUUCUCUACCAUCGGCAUAUAGGAAUAAUCAGUUAAUUAGGCCUCUUAAUACCUUACUGAGGCUGAGUUCAUUUGGAAACCCAGGUGGUUUAGAUCGAAACUAGGCAUACAUAGGCUGGCUUUUAGAUGUUUACGUCUUUGAAGAUCUAUCCAAAUUUUAGAUAUUAGUACAUAAAUCAAUCAAAUUUUUGUACGUGCAUCUGUUAUUAGAUCAUACGAAUACAUGACUUUCAAACAUUAUAUUAGCCUGCCUAGUAGUUCGUCAUAUUGGAAAUAGUGUUAUAAAAUUGGAUUUAAAUUAAGAGAUUUGACAAAAGAUUUGAAAUCUUUUCAAAAUCAUCCAGGUAGUUUGGAUUACUUAGCAACUAUGAGUUUGUAAUUCACUUCAAUUCUUUACUUUCUUCCCUCAUCCGAGUUCAAACAGAACAAACCCUCAAACUAUGACCUUCAUAGAUGGUAACAUCCAAAUUUUCACCAAAACAAAAUGAAUAUACAUACUGAACUUUUGGGGAGAAUGAACUCGACCCUUUGUAGGUUGGAAAUAUCAAAUCCUUAUAAGUAGUACGAGGGGAUUAUUAAGAGGAUAGAGGAAGAGGAGGAUUUUGAUAGGUUGAUAGCAUGCAAUAUUUGAGGUGCAAGCUAGAAUUUGAAGGGCAUCUACCACUUAUUUAUUUUCUCAACUAGUUCCUUCAUAAAUCAUGCCGAUUAUGGCCGACCAAUACGAAAGCCGUGUUGAGCAACUUCACACAAAGCAUUAGUAAAUGAAAUUUGCUUAAAUAGGAUAAUCCAACAACCCACUCUGUUACUCCAAAUUUCUUUGUGCCAAAGGAUAGAACUAAGGGCGCCUAGAACCAGAGAGAAUUAUUGCUACAUAAGGCCCCCACCUCCACCUGUCCACCCCCUUUCUGCCUUGGUCGAGAGUCUCUUAAUUCCAAACAAAUAAUUAAAGAACUUCCUACUUUCUGCCCCUAUCAAAGAUGGACCUAAGGGGCGAUUUCUUCAUCAGACUUUGACGUGUGAUACAUACCAAAAUCUGAGGUUUGAGACCUUGAGCAUAAACAUGGCGGACACACAUACUCUCACACAGAAACACUCACACAAGAAGUCUUUUGAAGGGUAAUGAAGAGGCUUGCUAAACCUUAGUACCAAAUCUAACCAAUUCAUGUGCAAGUGGAAUUUCGGUUCAUGAGAUGAAUGAAUCUUGGAAAGUUGAAUCUAUCAAUGAGUGUUACCAAAUUUACUGGGCGUUGAAUCCGUAGAGAAGGUCCUAACACCAUAGAAGCCUAGCACUCCCUUUUCCUAUUGUAAUUGAUGAAUUCCUCUGUAAUAUUUUUCUUUUCUUGGCUCGCCUGAUAGGAAAAACUAACCAUGUAACCCAUAUUUUUGAAUUGUCAGAAAAGUUAGAAUAAUGCAGUAGCAGACUUGAGUAAGGAAAUAAUGAACAGCUUGAAAGCUAAAUUAUGGAGUACUUGAAGUCCAUGGCCAUUGGACAUUUGUCCAUUAAGGGAGUCUUUAUGUACAUGUUUCUUUUGAGUGGCUAGGAUAAAUCAUGGGGACAAAAGAUAUUCUCUUUUUUUUUUUAGAUUUUUUUUUUGUUUUACCAAAUGGGGGCAAAAGAUAGUUCACUGAAUUUUAGUUGUACGUGGCAAUGGUUGGUCCUUUUCUUCUAGCUACUACAUGUGCUGUUCCCAGUUGAACCAAAUAUUUCUUUGGGGUGGAAUUUUAAGUCCCUCAAUUAUCGUAAGUUACAAUUAGAUGACAAGCAGUGUUUUUAGCAUUUUUAUAGUUACAAAUAAUUAUAGCAUGCCAUGAAACCUUGGAGUGAAAAUUUAAGGUCGAUCCGACAACGAAUGUGAGGUAUGGACCAGCAAGGACUGCUAACUUGCCAAGGCUUUGCAUGGAAAUCAACACCUUAUUUUCCCAGGUUUCAUGGUGAAGAAACCUGCCACAAGAAAAUCAACAGGUGGAGGUACCAUGUCAAUCUGCUAAUUGGUGACCUUUUUCUCUGUUCUUCCUCCGAUCUACAUAAUCAAGUAAGUUUGACAAAUAUAUCUCAAAUUUAGUUCAAUAAUCCAAAUUGAACAAUAUACUUACCUCAAUGUCUAAAUGUAAUAUUUACCAUGUACAUAACUUGGCGUGUUCAAGGAUGACAAGCACGAACUUAGCUCCAAUUGAGAAGUCCAGUAGGGCUGAGGUGUGUCGAGUACUCUUUUUAAGAUGAUAUGCGCUCCUAUGUUGGUAUUUUUUAGAAUUCAUGCAGGAGAUCUAAGUGUGCCGCUUCCAGCAUACAACAACCGAACAUUAAGGUUAUUACUUCAUUUUGAUCUGUACAACCAAAAGAAGCAGAACCUUUUCAAUAUCUUACUUUGCCCAAAAAAAAAUAGAAA